Molecule: ribosomal RNA, 429 nt
Filed under: Chloroflexota bacterium
Lineage: Bacteria; Bacillati; Chloroflexota
Description: Chloroflexi bacterium partial 16S ribosomal RNA
Rfam family: Bacterial small subunit ribosomal RNA
Source: RNAcentral
UGGGGAAUAUUGCACAAUGGGCGCAAGCCUGAUGCAGCCAUGCCGCGUGUGUGAAGAAGGCCUUCGGGUUGUAAAGCACUUUCAGCGGGGAGGAAGGCGAUAAGGUUAAUAACCUUGUCGAUUGACGUUACCCGCAGAAGAAGCACCGGCUAACUCCGUGCCAGCAGCCGCGGUAAUACGGAGGGUGCAAGCGUUAAUCGGAAUUACUGGGCGUAAAGCGCACGCAGGCGGUCUGUCAAGUCGGAUGUGAAAUCCCCGGGCUCAACCUGGGAACUGCAUUCGAAACUGGCAGGCUAGAGUCUUGUAGAGGGGGGUAGAAUUCCAGGUGUAGCGGUGAAAUGCGUAGAGAUCUGGAGGAAUACCGGUGGCGAAGGCGGCCCCCUGGACAAAGACUGACGAUCAGGUGCGAAAGCGUGGGGAGCAAACAGG